AUUGAGACUUCGGUGGAUUUGAUCUAUUUCUAGUGGCGGACGGGUGAGUAACGCGUGGGUAACCUGCCUUAUACAGGGGGAUAACAGUCAGAAAUGGCUGCUAAUACCGCAUAAGCGCACAGAGCUGCAUGGCUCAGUGUGAAAAACUCCGGUGGUAUAAGAUGGACCCGCGUUGGAUUAGCUGGUUGGUGGGGUAACGGCCCACCAAGGCGACGAUCCAUAGCCGGCCUGAGAGGGUGAACGGCCACAUUGGGACUGAGACACGGCCCAGACUCCUACGGGAGGCAGCAGUGGGGAAUAUUGCACAAUGGGGGAAACCCUGAUGCAGCGACGCCGCGUGAAGGAAGAAGUAUCUCGGUAUGUAAACUUCUAUCAGCAGGGAAGAUAGUGACGGUACCUGACUAAGAAGCCCCGGCUAACUACGUGCCAGCAGCCGCGGUAAUACGUAGGGGGCAAGCGUUAUCCGGAUUUACUGGGUGUAAAGGGAGCGUAGACGGUGUGGCAAGUCUGAUGUGAAAGGCAUGGGCUCAACCUGUGGACUGCAUUGGAAACUGUCAUACUUGAGUGCCGGAGGGGUAAGCGGAAUUCCUAGUGUAGCGGUGAAAUGCGUAGAUAUUAGGAGGAACAC
RNAcentral lists this ribosomal RNA (628 nucleotides) under uncultured Lachnospiraceae bacterium. Its description in RNAcentral is "bacterial SSU rRNA". It matches the Rfam family "Bacterial small subunit ribosomal RNA", at positions 66 to 709 of the family's 1533-position model. Lineage: Bacteria; Bacillati; Bacillota; Clostridia; Lachnospirales; Lachnospiraceae. The record is from RNAcentral.